RNA transcript from Grus americana (Whooping crane), 6479 nucleotides. It is a transcript of the gene named FIC domain protein adenylyltransferase, with no coding region annotated. Lineage: Eukaryota; Metazoa; Chordata; Aves; Gruiformes; Gruidae. The transcript is spliced from 4 exons. The record is from RefSeq and is a predicted model, not a curated record.
GCUACUGUGGCCGGCAGCCGGCAGCUCCGGGGGGCGGCAAAGGUGGGAGUAGCGGGAAAGGAGAUGUUCCUCGUGUCUGCGCUGGAAGCAGGAUGAAUCUCAUGUCUAUGGCGACAGAGCCCGAGUUGAAAUGGAUAACCCUGUGGGUCCGCAUCAGGUGGGCGGCCGUGCUCGUGCUCCUCCUGGGCUCACUCGUGAUGCUGCUGCUCCCGCUGGCUGCUGUGGAAGACCAGUGCCACGCACUGCUCAAAGGACUCUCCUUCCUGAAAAGUAAACUGGGCGCAGGCUCCUCAGGCAUCACCACAUACACUGGACAAACAACUGGACUGAGCGUGACCUCCAAUGGGCUGGAGCUGCUGGUGCUGAAAGGCAAAGCCUCCCCAGAAGUAAAGUCAGAAGCCAAAGCGGCUCUGAAUCAAGCCCUCGAAAUGAAGCGCCAAGGAAAGCGGGAAAAAGCCCACAAACUCUUCGUGUAUGCCCUCAAAAUGGACCCUGAUUACGUGGAUGCCCUGAAUGAAUUUGGUAUUUUUUCUGAAGAGGAAAAAGACAUUCUUCAAGCUGACUAUUUGUACUCCAAAGCGCUCACCAUUUCUCCCUGCAACGAGAAGGCUUUGAUCAAUCGGGACCGGACGCUACCUUUAGUUGAAGAAAUAGAUCAGAGGUAUUUUAGCAUUAUCGACAGCAAGGUUAAAAAAGUGAUGGCGAUCCCCAAAGGCAAUUCUGCCCUGCGCCGGGUGAUGGAGGAGUCCUAUUAUCACCACAUCUACCACACGGUGGCCAUUGAGGGAAACACUCUGACACUGUCAGAAAUACGACACAUCAUUGAGACCAGAUACGCUGUUCCUGGAAAAAGCUUAGUGGAGCAGAACGAGGUGAUCGGCAUGCACGCAGCUUUGAAAUACGUCAACACCACGCUGGUGUCGCGGAUAGGCUCCGUAACCAUCAGUGACAUCUUGGAGAUACACCGGAGAGUGCUGGGCUACGCUGACCCAGUGGAGGCAGGGCGGUUCAGGACUACUCAGGUAUUUGUAGGACAUCACAUACCACCACAUCCCCAGGACGUCGAGAAACAGAUGCAGGAGUUCGUGCAGUGGAUUAACUCGGACGAUGCCAUGAGUUUGCACCCUGUGGAAUUUGCUGCGUUAGCCCACUACAAGUUGGUUUACAUCCAUCCAUUUGUAGAUGGCAACGGAAGGACCUCGCGCCUGCUAAUGAACCUCAUACUAAUGCAGGCGGGCUACCCGCCCAUCACAAUCCGCAAGGAGCAACGGGCCGAGUAUUACCACGUCUUAGAAGUGGCCAACGAGGGUGACGUGAGGCCUUUCAUACGCUUUAUUGCUAAGUGUACUGAGACAACUCUGGACAUGCUGCUCAUUGCCACCACAGAAUACUCUGUGGGCUUACCUGAAGCAGACGGCAGCACUGCUGGGUGCAAACAAACCAUCCCCGUCAAGACUUGAGGGUUGUGGACGUUCAGGAGCCAACGAAUGCGUGGGAGAAUGGAACCCCAAGCCACUCAGUAUUCCUGCUGGGAAAUAACUUGACAGUGAACUAAGAAGCAGUCACAGCUUGGUUCGUGAAGCAGCAAGUUACACAGUACACAUCCUGGCUCCCUCAACUGCCGCACUGCAGCCUGGGGUGCCACGCAGCGCUCUGAAGCACCAAGUCCAACCCCAGCAGCCAAAGGAAACUCAACUCAUCACCAGCGUGCCACCGGGGUGAGGCCAGCCUGGGCAUUCCCAGCCCGCAAAGCGAAGCUUCGUGUGGAAGCGUUACUAGAAUGUUUCUGAGCUGGUUUUGAGAUACAGUCCCAUUUACCAUCAGUCCGACACCGAAUGGCUAGCCCAAGCGUCUGGCCAUACUGCCAACAAGCACCGACACAACCCGGUCCCUUCCUGCCUCACUGCAACCACCGGUGUUCCGUGGUUCAAAGCUACGAAGCAGACUCAUCAUUUCAAAGCAAAGCCAAGUCAAAUCAGCACAGAAUGUAAGCACUGAAAGUGGUGUUUAUUUCCAGCAGUGCUUGUGUUGUACAAAUGAACUCAGAACUGGGGUCCCCCCUCACGUUCAACCCCUGCCUCCGCUGACCCCCAGAAUUCACAGCAGUUUUAGCUGACAAGCAGUAACAUUUCUAUCCAAGAUCACGUACCAGAUUAUUUUAAAGUCUGAGGUAAUUACCGAAAUAUAGUUUCAGGGUAUUCAUACUAGAUGGGAUGAGCUACCUAAAAGUGUUUAGGUGCCACUGUGUAUAUCAGUGCACCUGAGAGGUGAGGUACAUCAGUAUUACCCAGCUGCCACAGGAUAAGUGCAAUUCCAACACCCACAUUUUAAACAAAAGCAACAGUAUUUAUAGAAAACCUUUGAGCACUCGAGUUUAAUAAACCAAGAAACAUAUCAGCUUGCACUUCACAUUUGUACAAAACCAUACAGAAACCACCUGCAAAAGACGUAUGAGCUAGCUAGCAAAAACAACCAAAAAAUAAAAAAAUGGUCCUCAGCAACAGCAUGUACAGCUUUUAUGGGAAACAAAAAUUACCAGAUUUAAGUAUUAUCUCAUGACACUUAAAAAUAAUAAUUUGAAUGUCUUUUACAAAUACACAAUAUAAAAAACAGGUCAACUUGAACAGAACAUUAACUGAAUACAUAUAUAUGUAUAUUUGUGUAUAUACAUAUACACACAUAUGUAUAGAAACUCUCCCAAUACUAAAAUAGGCCAUUGUGGUGAAGUUACUAGCAUCUGCCAUUUAACUCUUAAUGGAAGGAGAUGACUGUCCCUGUGUGUGUGUGUGUGUGUGUGUUUGGGUGUGUUUGGGUGUAAAAUGGGUUUGUUGUCAGAGAGAAUGACUGCAAUCACAAUCUGAACUGACCAGUGGAGCUUGACAAGGUUAUCACUAGGCUUUCACGCUACAUCUCAUUCGUUAAUGAAAGAGAAAUAUUUGUAAAGUAUUCAUAAAACUUGAUGUGGCAUCCAACCUGUACAGGAAAUAUUUCCCCCCUCGUUAACCCUCAAUAUGAGGAAUCAUAUAACACCAUUUUACCAGAACAUAGUGUAACUCUUUGCUCUUAGAGGAAAAAAACCCUGAAUUUGUACCAUCCUACACUGAUCUCGAUGAAUGCAGUAGUCCAGAACAGUAUUUACAUGAUUGUGACUGGCGUUCUCUCCUUGCUAGCAUAAGGACACAACAUGGCUUCCAUAAAGGCAUUUCACAUUUUACCAGACCCGCUGAUUGCAGACUUUUUGCUCACUUUUUCAGUAGCAUCUUGGCAAAAUCAGCAUUGGACAUCUUUUUAGGCUCCUCCGGGGGUUCGGAUGAAGAUGCUGGUGAGUUCUGGACCAUCCCGUUCUCAGCCUUAGCCACAGGAUUACUCUGGCGCUGUAACGCACGGGGCAUCAUUGAAAGCUGUGUCCUUCCCUUUCCUCGCCUGGAGAACAAAAAGUGACAUUUAAAAAUACCCCAGUGCACUGUGAACAUACUGUUUUAGCUCGGGGAAACAGGAAGGACUUUGUUCACCAUGAGGAACAUUCAUUUAAAUAUUAUUCCUGUCAUUUGUUUCAGAAAUAAGUAGUGCAAAGCUUUCCAUGGGUGCCCUUUGAAACAGUAUACCUAAGUCCUGGCAGAAAACAACUACCCAACAGUCCCCAGAAAUUGAAGCUCCAUGUUUAUCUACAGGGCACGUACAACACAACACCAACACGAUGCUAAGCAGCAGGAGCACUCUGAAGACGAAAGAGCAACUUAAUGCUUGCUGUGAACAACAGCUGGUUCUCCUGAAGGAGAGGACACGGAAGUUAUUAGAGCUCAGGGGGUAACAUCAGAUCCAACGGGUCUGAUGUCCGACACCCGAUACUCAGUCACUACAGCCCUCUUUCUAUUGGUAAAAAACAAAAAUCUACUUUUCCUCAUCAAUCCAGCAACCCGAUUUCUUAUGGUUCAGCGCCUUUUAAACAUUCUCUUGUAUUCUAGAUAAGAUUCCUCUGUUGCAGCAUAUAAAGGAACCCAGUGUUUUCUUUCUAAGCAUUGCCAAGCAGUCUCCCUCACUAGUACUUACGCUCCAUAAACCUGCCGUGGUACCGCAAAUUGCGAGGCUCUGCCUGCCUCGGGCUUGUCUGGCAGCUUUCGGAGAGGUGGGUUACUGAUCGCCACCUUGAUGACGUGUUCCUUAACUGUCAGGCCAUCCAUCUUCAGCACAGCCUGCGAGGCCUGAGCUUCGUUUUCAUAUUCCACAUAGGCCAGGCCCUAAAUAAGAAAAAGGGGUAACCUACGUUAGUUUUAGUGCAUCUUUCUCCGCAUGACAGCUUUCGCUAAUAAUUUGGCCAACUGAUAAGAAAACCAUACAGAAAGCAGAUCUAGACAUGGCUAAGAGUCUCAGUAUUCUUUAGGUAAAAAAAAAUUUAUUCUCUACACAAAUCUACAACCUGCAUUUCUUGACUCUCAUUCACAAUGCCCUAAUUUGUGGGAGGGGUAUAAAAAAGAAAAAACCAAAACAGACAGGUACGGUAUCUAAAGGGACUAGCACUGCUGCCCCAAGAACAGGGACUGGUGACAAAAAGCGUUCUUUGCUGGAAAUGAAUCCACGGUGACUUCCUGAAGUGCCAGCUGCUAACCAACUGCUGUUGGUGCACCUCCCAUAACAGGGUCUUAUUUCCAGCAACGGACAAAAGUGCACCCCAGCAUCUGCUACGGCCAGCUCUGACAGAGUCCACUAGUUGGGAUGCAUCACCUCCCAGUUCUAUUGCUGUUAUUCUUUUAAAUGACAUUCAAAUCCUUUAGCUGUAUUUUUGGGUUAUGUAGUUUCACAGAAAACACAUCAGAUUUUACACAACAUUCAAAGUACAUUUAUUUGUGGUUCAGACAGAAUCCCAGCUCAAACUAAGCCGAGAACAUGGCUUGCAAGAUUUGGGGUACACAUGGAGAACACUCGUUACAAGGUAUGCAUGCCACAGGAACUGUACUUGAGAUAUUCUAGCCAAGAGCUAGAAAAUACAUUUUAAAAAUACAUUAACAUCCCCACCAGGAUGGCACCCAUUAGAAGCACCCAGCAUGCAGACAUGGCCGAGGUGUCAGGUAGAAUUUUGGCAGAGCAGCAGCUAGUUUAGAGUCUCUUAUUUAAGGAGGAGUCAUUUAUUCCAGGAUGGAAAUAAUGAGCCCUGUCAGAAAGAGGUGGCUCAUUUCUCACUGGCAGCAGGUGUUAUGAACAAUAGCCUCAAGGAACUGAAGAAAGGGAGGAGGGGAACUGGUUAUACCAGGGGAGCCCUAGCUACUCAGUUACUUUAAAAACAAAUACUCUUUACAGACUUACUAAUGCCAAUUUUUACUAUACUCAGAGUGCUGUAAACAUCUUUCCCUCUAUCCCGUUUAUAUCCCACAUUCUUCUUGCACAAUUUAAGAAGCAUUUUGGAAACGUUCCUCUUCCCCUCCUACUUAUUUAUUGGCACAAAAGCACACUAGGCUGUAUAAAUCCAAGCAUUUCUACAAGUUUUGAUGCAAAGACAGGUUGGCAAGUUUUAAAAUACAUAGCUUAUUUUUUGCAUCCAAAAAUCAUGAAGAGCUUCUCUUUGAAGGAUUUCUUAAAAUGAAGAGUGCAUUAAGGAUGCCUACCUUGGGUUUUCCAGCUCGGUUGGUGACCAGCCGAAUGUCUUUCACAUUCCCAUGUGCUUUACACACAUCUUCCAGCUCUUCCUUAGUGCAGGAAAAUGGCAAACCAGAUAUAAACAAUUUAUGUUUCUCCAGCGUAGUGCUAUACCUGAACACCUGAAGAAAGGAAAAGGCUGUUAGAUACCACACCAGUCAGAGACUCCAAGGAUUUCAACCUAUUACACCUCCAAAAGCUUAUCAGAGUACUUCAUAUUUGUGUGAUACAAAAAUACCUUUGAGUCAUGAGUAGUAUCUUGAAAGAUAUUUGCAUAUAAACAUACAGGCAUACGCUAAGGAUUUGCAAGUAAUUCUAAGAACUAGAUGCUUCUAAACACCUAUGUCUCCUUCACAACAAGAAGGGCCAUUGAUAAUGUCUUCUUGCUCAGUUGUCACUAUCUAAACCAUUAAGUUUUUCUGUACAAUAACUCCAUAACACAGAAAGCCACCGAUUAUACAACUAGUAUCAAGUACAGACCAUUAACAAGAACCAGUGGGUUGUGUAAUAAAUGCCCACAGCUGUACGACUCAGCCAAAAAACUACUCUGCAGAUUGAGAUGCUGAGGUAGGAAUCUGGGUGCCUCGCACCGUUAACAAGCUGCUCAGAUUAGCUUACUAAAGAUUUGCAGAAAUCUGCUAGUGUCAAUCUUGGUUUAUGCAAAGUAACAUAAGAUGCAAGAACUCCCAGAAAACAGUUUUACUGGCAAGACAUAGCAUUACCAUUCCAAACUAGCACAACGUGAAUUCGUUAGGUGCAAGCCCUCUGGAAGCAAGAUAUUCUGCUAGCUUUGCUAUGCAGUCCCACUCUUGGACCUAUUACUUGAAAGAAUAAAAGUUUACCUUAAA